Molecule: transfer RNA, 85 nt
Filed under: Felis catus (domestic cat)
Lineage: Eukaryota; Metazoa; Chordata; Mammalia; Carnivora; Felidae
Rfam family: tRNA
About the family: Transfer RNA (tRNA) molecules are approximately 80 nucleotides in length.
Source: Rfam by way of RNAcentral
GCCUGGGUGGCUCAGUAGGUUAGGUGUCUGACUUCGGCUCAGGUCACGAUCUCGCGGUCCGUGGGUUCGAGCCCCGCCUCUGGCU